UGCCCUUAGAUGUUCUGGGCCGCACGCGCGCUACACUGACAGAGCCAACGAGUUCUUCACCUUGGCCGAAAGGUCUGGGUAAUCUUGUUAAACUCUGUCGUGCUGGGGAUAGAGCAUUGCAAUUAUUGCUCUUCAACGAGGAAUGCCUAGUAAGCGCGUGUCAUCAGCAUGCGUUGAUUACGUCCCUGCCCUUUGUACACACCGCCCGUCGCUACUACCGAUUGAAUGGCUCGGCCCGUGCCCCCGCCCC
This 250-nucleotide ribosomal RNA is filed under the name Ophiosphaerella sp. Its description in RNAcentral is "partial small subunit ribosomal RNA". It matches the Rfam family "Eukaryotic small subunit ribosomal RNA", at positions 1468 to 1717 of the family's 1831-position model. The record is from RNAcentral. Lineage: Eukaryota; Fungi; Ascomycota; Dothideomycetes; Pleosporales; Phaeosphaeriaceae.